UCACUGUUCCCUCAUUAUACCUAUCUGAUACCUAUAUUCAUUGUGCGCCCUCUAGAGAACAAAAUACCAUCAUCCAAAUCAAUCACAGAACGAAAGCGAGUUUUCCUAAAGUACAAAUAAAGUAAAUUCGUGUUUAAUGAACCAUGGUUUGUUAUAAUGACAUGAGUUGGAACGUUUCCAGUGUUGUCUCCAAAAUGUACCUACAACUAUUACCAAUCACAGCAAGGCCAGGAACACUAGCAAGUCCACAAUCGCAAAUUCCUACGCUUUCGUUUUGCUGGACCUUGGCAACAAUAUCCAAGGGAAGGGAUUCCAAGUCACAACACGGCAUUACAGUACUGUUGAAGACUCAUGAAAGUUACAUCUUAGCGUGAAGCUAAUGAAAGCUUGACGUAUGCUGGCAUAGUGCCCGGUCAAGUUGGGGGUUUUUCCAGUUAUGCUUUGUUUGUCUUAUGUUCUCAUAAUUCCUAGAUCCUAGUUCCUAUCCGAAUAAAUAUAGCAUUGAAAUCAA
Long non-coding RNA from Anneissia japonica, 511 nucleotides. RefSeq lists it as uncharacterized. The record is from RefSeq and is a predicted model, not a curated record. NCBI's taxonomy places the organism in Eukaryota, Metazoa, Echinodermata, Crinoidea, Comatulida, Comatulidae. The transcript is spliced from 3 exons.